Lagopus muta (rock ptarmigan) is the source of this 717-nucleotide long non-coding RNA. RefSeq lists it as uncharacterized. The record is from RefSeq and is a predicted model, not a curated record. Lineage: Eukaryota; Metazoa; Chordata; Aves; Galliformes; Phasianidae. The transcript is spliced from 4 exons.
AUCCUCUCUUUUGGUGUCUUCUGGUGAGCUCAGCUGAAGGGGACUGUUCAGGGACUUUUCAGAAAAAUCCUUGAAGGAAAGAAAAAGCAUGUGUGCAUGUUGUAAUGGAUCAUAUCUGAAAAGUGAAAGAUGAAUAAUCUAAAUCACAGUGCUUUUGUGUGAAGAGAGAAGAGAAGCACAUUCCCUGGCCAGAAGCAGGCAAAGGAGCUUUAUUAAGAAAAGGAGAUAAAAAUGUUGUGCCACAGCUUUCAGAAAUGUUUGGUGCUUCAAAGGAAAAUACACUUAUCUGGCUAUUAGAAGAUGAGACUGAACUUGUGAUGACAAGCAUGACAACAAAUCACCAUGUUGCUUGCUUGCUGUGGCUCAGAUCAGUGUAGUCUUCUUUCUGCAACAUUUUUUCUAUGCUACUGCAAUGCAAAUGUAUAUCUGAGAGUUUUGUUAUAUUAUAUUCUGGAAGACAUGAAAUCUGCCGGAAGUUAUUCCAGUGUCUAUGAGAAAUCGCUUCAUACUUGUGCAAGUCUUUAAGGGUUAUAAAAAAUUGUCACUUUCUGAAAGCAUGUUCUACAAUAUUAUCAUUCCUAAUGUUUUCAAAUGUGUAUGCUUUUACAAUAAGAGUGAAUUAAAGAGCAUACAUUAUUAAAUCACAGUAGUAAGAAUGAGCCAAAUUCUGCCACUCCUAUUCACACUAGAAAGAAAGUAACUUGAUUUUAGUGGAAU